This 443-nucleotide ribosomal RNA is filed under the name uncultured bacterium. RNAcentral describes it as "partial 16S ribosomal RNA". It matches the Rfam family "Bacterial small subunit ribosomal RNA", at positions 338 to 795 of the family's 1533-position model. The record is from RNAcentral.
CCUACGGGGGGCAGCAGUGGGGAAUAUUGGGCAAUGGGCGCAAGCCUGACCCAGCAACGCCGCGUGAAGGAAGAAGGCUUUCGGGUUGUAAACUUCUUUUCUCAGGGACGAAGCAAGUGACGGUACCUGAGGAAUAAGCCACGGCUAACUACGUGCCAGCAGCCGCGGUAAUACGUAGGUGGCAAGCGUUAUCCGGAUUUACUGGGUGUAAAGGGCGUGUAGGCGGGACUGCAAGUCAGAUGUGAAAACCAUGGGCUCAACCUGUGGCCUGCAUUUUAAACUGUAGUUCUUUAGUACUGGGGAGGCAGACGGAAUUCCUAGUGUAGCGGUGAAAUGCGUAGAUAUUAGGAGGAACACCAGUGGCGAAGGCGGUCUGCUGGACAGCAACUGACGCUGAGGCGCGAAAGCGUGGGGAGCAAACAGGAUUAGAUACCCUUGUAGUC